AUGCCUAAUACAUGCAAGUCGAACGAUCUCUUCGGAGAUAGUGGCGCACGGGUGCGUAACGCGUGGGAAUCUGCCCUUGGGUUCGGAAUAACAUCGGGAAACUGAUGCUAAUACCGGAUGAUGACGUAAGUCCAAAGAUUUAUCGCCCAGGGAUGAGCCCGCGUAGGAUUAGCUAGUUGGUGAGGUAAAGGCUCACCAAGGCGACGAUCCUUAGCUGGUCUGAGAGGAUGAUCAGCCACACUGGGACUGAGACACGGCCCAGACUCCUACGGGAGGCAGCAGUAGGGAAUAUUGGACAAUGGGCGAAAGCCUGAUCCAGCAAUGCCGCGUGAGUGAUGAAGGCCUUAGGGUUGUAAAGCUCUUUUACCCGGGAUGAUAAUGACAGUACCGGGAGAAUAAGCCCCGGCUAACUCCGUGCCAGCAGCCGCGGUAAUACGGAGGGGGCUAGCGUUGUUCGGAAUUACUGGGCGUAAAGCGCACGUAGGCGGCGAUUUAAGUCAGAGGUGAAAGCCCGGGGCUCAACCCCGGAACUGCCUUUGAGACUGGAUUGCUUGAACAUCGGAGAGGUGAGUGGAAUUCCGAGUGUAGAGGUGAAAUUCGUAGAUAUUCGGAAGAACACCAGUGGCGAAGGCGGCUCACUGGACGAUUGUUGACGCUGAGGUGCGAAGCGUGGGGAGCAA
Molecule: ribosomal RNA, 680 nt
Filed under: uncultured Alphaproteobacteria bacterium
Lineage: Bacteria; Pseudomonadati; Pseudomonadota; Alphaproteobacteria
Description: bacterial SSU rRNA
Rfam family: Bacterial small subunit ribosomal RNA
Source: RNAcentral